Molecule: unclassified non-coding RNA, 249 nt
Filed under: uncultured Boletus
Lineage: Eukaryota; Fungi; Basidiomycota; Agaricomycetes; Boletales; Boletaceae
Description: sequence contains ITS2
Source: RNAcentral
AAUUCUCAACCAUGCCUUGAUUUAUUUCAAGGUCAUGGCUUGGACUUGGGAUCUUGCUGGCAGCGAAAAGCAGCUCAGCUGUCCUGAAAUGCAUUAGCAAAGGCAAGAGGCAGGUCUUUCUAGGACGUGCACGGCCUUCGACGUGAUAAUGAUCGUCGUGGCUGGAGCGUCGGACGUGCAUCCAAAUUGUCUUGCUUCCAAUCCUUGAUGUCGACCACUUUCGUUGUGGGAUCGAUGUCAUUUUUGACC